AAAAGAUAAUAUCCGUAAGGAUAUCAAGGACCCUCCAGACUCGCUCGAGCUCGGCUCGUUGACAGCCCUCCCGGAGCCGCUCAGGGCCUCAGGAAGAUGGGUACAUCUUAUGUAGUUAUGUGCCUUUACUGUGUUAGUGGAAAGGUGGAGUAGCAAUAACAAAUGUGCUGAUCUUUGGCAGCAUAACAGGGUUUGUACCAUGAAAAUGAUAUAUGUGUGUAUGUUGUUUCUGGUAAUUUGGAUUCUUUGAUCUGUUUGUCACCUUUAAGGAGUUUUUUCCCUCGAUGGAACAAAAGGAACAAUUAACUGUGUACUAUGUACCUUGGAUGGAAGAUUGGAUUGUAUUCCCCAAUUAAAAUUUCCUUACUAAUUAAUUGGUUCAGGUCAGAUAAGGAAUAUGACAGGCCUGGCCUUUGUA
Molecule: long non-coding RNA, 418 nt
Organism: Panicum virgatum (switchgrass)
Lineage: Eukaryota; Viridiplantae; Streptophyta; Magnoliopsida; Poales; Poaceae
Exons: 2
Source: RefSeq, a predicted model, not a curated record